This 330-nucleotide ribosomal RNA is filed under the name uncultured eukaryote. Its description in RNAcentral is "partial 18S ribosomal RNA". It matches the Rfam family "Eukaryotic small subunit ribosomal RNA", at positions 1469 to 1796 of the family's 1831-position model. The record is from RNAcentral.
ACCCUUAGAUGUUCUGGGCCGCACGCGCGCUACACUGAUGCGUUCAACGAGUUUAGAACCUUGACUGAUAGGUCUGGGUAAUCUUUUGAAUGCGCAUCGUGCUAGGGAUAGAUUAUUGCAAUUAUUAAUCUUGAACGAGGAAUUCCUAGUAAACGCAAGUCAUCAGCUUGCAUUGAUUACGUCCCUGCCCUUUGUACACACCGCCCGUCGCACCAACCGAUUGAAUGGUUCGGUGAAGAAUCUGGACACAUGAUGUUUGGGAUUCAUUUCCUGAAUGUCGAGUGGAAUGUUUCUAAACCUAACCCUUUAGAGGAUGGUGAAGUCGUAACA